RNAcentral lists this ribosomal RNA (444 nucleotides) under Triticum aestivum (bread wheat). RNAcentral's name for it is "partial small subunit ribosomal RNA". The record is from RNAcentral. Lineage: Eukaryota; Viridiplantae; Streptophyta; Magnoliopsida; Poales; Poaceae.
AUGCCCGUGACCAAGCUCCUCAAGACACAGGUUGGUUCGUUCAAGGGCGACGGCUCCUUCUCUGACAGCCAGCCCGCCCGUCUCGCCGGAUGUCGACGACAGCAGCGACCUGACCUGUUUGUCAAGGGGGAGAAGAAGGAGGACCACCGGGGCUCGUCAUGGCGCGCUUCAACAACAACACGAGGAGAGGCAAGAGAGACCUCUCAAGCAAAGGACCCGACCUGUUUGUCAAGGGGGAGAAGAAGGGAGGACCACCAGGACUCGUCAUGGCACGCUUCAACAACACCAAGGGGAGAGGCAAGAGCAGCCUCUCAAGCAAAGGCCCAUGACCCCUACAUGGCCAGCCCUCAAGCAAAGGAAUGCCAUUCUUGGAAGUCAAGUCUUGUAGCAUUUCUUCUUCAAGGAAAUGAAGCCGGAAUAUCAUGUCUUCGGCGUGCAACUUAA